UGUGGGAGCUGGCUUGCCUGCGAUAACGGUGGGUCAGCUAAAACAAUGUUGGCUGUUACUCCGCUAUCGCAGGCAAGCCAGCUCCCACA
Molecule: unclassified non-coding RNA, 89 nt
Filed under: Pseudomonas sp. bs2935
Lineage: Bacteria; Pseudomonadati; Pseudomonadota; Gammaproteobacteria; Pseudomonadales; Pseudomonadaceae
Source: RNAcentral